AAAGACACUUUACUUUCCCUCAAAUACUCUCUUAGUAUAUAUACAUACUACUACCACCCAUCAAUCCAUCAUCAUGGCCCCCUGCGAGUGCAAGUGCUGCUCUGGCAGCUGCAACUCCUGCGCCUGCUCUGACUGCAAGGUAUGUACUCAUACCAUAGCA
This 160-nucleotide small RNA is filed under the name Aspergillus brasiliensis CBS 101740. Its description in RNAcentral is "A. fumigatus sRNA Afu_254". It matches the Rfam family "A. fumigatus sRNA Afu_254". Lineage: Eukaryota; Fungi; Ascomycota; Eurotiomycetes; Eurotiales; Aspergillaceae. The record is from Rfam by way of RNAcentral.